Molecule: non-coding RNA, 726 nt
Organism: Microcebus murinus (gray mouse lemur)
Lineage: Eukaryota; Metazoa; Chordata; Mammalia; Primates; Cheirogaleidae
Source: RefSeq, a predicted model, not a curated record
GAGUAGAGGAAAAUGAAAUUGAAAGUGAGGUUCCCAGACUUUAAAAGAACGCCCUGCAGGCAGGGGACAGAACACCUGACACAGCGGCUGAGGCUUCAGGAUGCCUGUAGUGGUUGGUGGGGUCGUGGUUGUGGCCGUGCUGGUCGUGUGCGGCUUGAUCUAUAUGUACCACAACUCCUCUCCAUGCAGACCACAAAGGGAAUCAGCGUCCCCCAACCGAGAAGACACUGAGUAUCACAGGAGAGACGAGUGGACGUCAGCGAGCAUGCAAGUGGCACCUCGUUUGCAUAGUGAUACAAUGAGGUCUCGCACUCUGUGUAACAGAGGCUAAAGAUUCCAGAGGUGUCUCUCAUGGGGACCAAAAGAAGGCCUAACCUUCUGGACCUCCAGGACCCUGGUUGUCCCUGCCGUGACGACCUAGGGAAAUGUCCCCACCUGAUCACAUAAUCGACUCCACGCUCCAGUGCAGCCUGCGCUCUGCACUCAGCCCGCUGGAUCGCGCUGCUCCUCUAGUCAACGGAAGAUGGGGAUUUGAGAUGGAUUUUAACAGAGAGGCCUGUCUAGGGCACGUGCAUCUGUGUGGGGCACCCAUGCCUGGGGCCUUGGGGGACACCCUCCGUGUGCUCCCCUGCACGUGAGCUCGUGGGUUGGAGGAACAAAUAUCUAGACGCUUAACCCUAACUCUUCAGUCACUGCUGCAUUUAAUAAACACGAGUGAGCAUUUCA